This is a long non-coding RNA of Myodes glareolus (Bank vole), 431 nucleotides long. RefSeq lists it as uncharacterized. The record is from RefSeq and is a predicted model, not a curated record. Lineage: Eukaryota; Metazoa; Chordata; Mammalia; Rodentia; Cricetidae.
UCCCUGUGGGACAGCAUCUCCUGCAGCUACAGCCUUUCCCCCCUUUCUGCAUGAACAAAUCCUCCCGUCCUUUCCAGGUCGGGGCUGAAGUCUACUGGUCCCACUCAGCACAGGGUGCUAAGACUUAGUCUCGGGCAGUGCUUUUCUUGGGUAACUGUCUUCUCGAGCUGUGGCAAAGAAGCUUUAUCAGCUGACUCCUUGGGCAGCGGGAGAGUGAAGUCUAAUUGUGACUGUGAAGGACAGGGCCUUUGGCACAAUUUCCUGACAGGAACAAGAAGGCAUUCAACUGGCUGGUGUUAGUUCUCGGGGUUACACUCGUCAAACGUUCUGCGAGACGGUGAGCAGGUCACUCUGGCUCUAAGAAAAUGAACCGUUUCACAGUAUCCUGGAGUCAAAGCAAGGUCAGCUCUGGAUCUGCCAGCUGGAAGAAG